UGGGGAAUAUUGGGCAAUGGGGGAAACCCUGACCCAGCAACGCCGCGUGAAGGAAGAAGGCCUUCGGGUUGUAAACUUCUUUUACCAGGGACGAAGGAAGUGACGGUACCUGGAGAAAAAGCAACGGCUAACUACGUGCCAGCAGCCGCGGUAAUACGUAGGUUGCGAGCGUUGUCCGGAUUUACUGGGUGUAAAGGGCGUGUAGGCGGAGAAGCAAGUUGGGAGUGAAAUCUAUGGGCUCAAACCCAUAAAACUGCUCUCAAAAACUGUUUCCCUUGAGUAUCGGAGAGGCAAGCGGAAUUCCUAGUGUAGCGGUGAAAAUGCGUAGAUAUUAGGAGGAACACCAGUGGCGAAGGCGGCUUGCUGGACGACAACUGACGCUGAGGCGCGAAAGCGUGGGGAGCAAAACAGGAUUAGAUACC
Molecule: ribosomal RNA, 422 nt
Filed under: uncultured bacterium
Lineage: Bacteria
Description: bacterial SSU rRNA
Rfam family: Bacterial small subunit ribosomal RNA
Source: RNAcentral